GAGGUGAAUCCUGCAGCUCAACUGUAGAAUUGCCUUUGAUACUGGUUGACCUUGGAAUUGUGAAGUGGUUAGAAUGUGUGGUGUAGCGGUGCAAAUUGCAUAGAUAUUACACAGAAUACCGAUUGCGAAGGCAGAUUACUAACAAUAUACUGACGCUGAUGGACGAAAGCGUGGGUAGCGAACAGGAUUAGAUACCCUGGUAGUCCACGCCGUAAACGAUGGUUACUAGCUGUUUG
RNAcentral lists this ribosomal RNA (236 nucleotides) under uncultured Bacteroidota bacterium. Its description in RNAcentral is "uncultured Bacteroidetes bacterium partial 16S ribosomal RNA". It matches the Rfam family "Bacterial small subunit ribosomal RNA", at positions 591 to 826 of the family's 1533-position model. Lineage: Bacteria; Pseudomonadati; Bacteroidota. The record is from RNAcentral.